RNAcentral lists this ribosomal RNA (513 nucleotides) under uncultured bacterium. RNAcentral describes it as "bacterial SSU rRNA". It matches the Rfam family "Bacterial small subunit ribosomal RNA", at positions 70 to 507 of the family's 1533-position model. The record is from RNAcentral.
CACGCAAAGAUGCAAUGGUAAGAGAGCAGAAGUUAAAACAAGGUCAAUCGAAAAGACAUUAAUUGAAAGAAUACAAGAUAGUAUAAAUCUUUGGUGAAUAAAAUUGAGUGCGGGAUAGUGGCGGACGGGUGAGUAACGCGUGAACAAUCUGCCCCGUACAAAGGGAUAGCCUCGGGAAACCGGGAUUAAAACCAUAUAACACUUAACUGCCGCAUGGUAGUGAAGUCAAAUCGAGUAAGAGGUAUGGGAUGAGUUCGCGUCUGAUUAGCUAGUUGGUGAGGUAAGGGCUCACCAAGGCGACGAUCAGUAGCCGGCCUGAGAGGGUGAACGGCCACACUGGAACUGAGACACGGUCCAGACUCCUACGGGAGGCAGCAGUGGGGAAUAUUGCACAAUGGAGGGAACUCUGAUGCAGCGACGCCGCGUGAGUGAAGAAGGUCUUCGGAUCGUAAAACUCUGUCCUUGGUGAAGAAAAGGACGGUAGCCAAGGAGGAAGCCCCGGCUAACUACGUG